AAGGUGUGCUCAGAGCAGGUGGCCUGAAGAAUGGUGCCUCUGUUUACAACACACCCAAGAAGAACUUAGGGUCAGUGUGACUAGAGGCACAAAACUUGUGACUUCCUUUGACCAAAUGUCCUAUACGU
This is a small nucleolar RNA of Octodon degus (degu), 128 nucleotides long. NCBI's taxonomy places the organism in Eukaryota, Metazoa, Chordata, Mammalia, Rodentia, Octodontidae. The record is from Ensembl.